This 465-nucleotide ribosomal RNA is filed under the name Marinobacter sp. AAO-4. Its description in RNAcentral is "bacterial SSU rRNA". It matches the Rfam family "Bacterial small subunit ribosomal RNA", at positions 267 to 724 of the family's 1533-position model. Lineage: Bacteria; Pseudomonadati; Pseudomonadota; Gammaproteobacteria; Pseudomonadales; Marinobacteraceae. The record is from RNAcentral.
ACCAAGGCGACGAUCCGUAGCUGGUCUGAGAGGAUGAUCAGCCACAUCGGGACUGAGACACGGCCCGAACUCCUACGGGAGGCAGCAGUGGGGAAUAUUGGACAAUGGGGGCAACCCUGAUCCAGCCAUGCCGCGUGUGUGAAGAAGGCUUUCGGGUUGUAAAGCACUUUCAGUGAGGAGGAAGGCCUUAAGGUUAAUACCCUUGAGGAUUGACGUUACUCACAGAAGAAGCACCGGCUAACUCCGUGCCAGCAGCCGCGGUAAUACGGAGGGUGCAAGCGUUAAUCGGAAUUACUGGGCGUAAAGCGCGCGUAGGUGGUUUGAUAAGCGAGAUGUGAAAGCCCCGGGCUUAACCUGGGAACGGCAUUUCGAACUGUCAGGCUAGAGUGUGGUAGAGGGUAGUGGAAUUUCCUGUGUAGCGGUGAAAUGCGUAGAUAUAGGAAGGAACACCAGUGGCGAAGGCGG